Molecule: ribosomal RNA, 994 nt
Filed under: uncultured bacterium
Lineage: Bacteria
Description: bacterial SSU rRNA
Rfam family: Bacterial small subunit ribosomal RNA
Source: RNAcentral
GGGGGAUAUUGCACAAUGGGGAAACCCUGAUGCAGCGACGCCGCGUGAGGGAAGAAGGUUUUCGGAUUGUAAACCUCUGUCCUCAGUGACGAUAAUGACGGUAGCUGAGGAGGAAGCCACGGCUAACUACGUGCCAGCAGCCGCGGUAAUACGUAGGUGGCAAGCGUUGUCCGGAAUUACUGGGUGUAAAGGGAGCGUAGGCGGGAAUACAAGUUGGAUGUCUAAUCUACCGGCUUAACCGGUAUUCGCAUUCAAAACUGUAUUUCUUGAGUGAAGUAGAGGCAGGCGGAAUUCCUAGUGUAGCGGUGAAAUGCGUAGAUAUUAGGAGGAACACCAGUGGCGAAGGCGGCCUGCUGGGCUUUAACUGACGCUGAGGCUCGAAAGCGUGGGUAGCAAACAGGAUUAGAUACCCUGGUAGUCCACGCUGUAAACGAUGAUUACUAGGUGUGGGGGGUCUGACCCCUUCCGUGCCGGAGUUAACACAAUAAGUAAUCCACCUGGGGAGUACGACCGCAAGGUUGAAACUCAAAGGAAUUGACGGGGGCCCGCACAAGCAGUGGAGUAUGUGGUUUAAUUCGAAGCAACGCGAAGAACCUUACCAGGUCUUGACAUCCUUUGACCGCCUAAGAGAUUAGGUUUUCCCUUCGGGGACAGAGUGACAGGUGGUGCAUGGUUGUCGUCAGCUCGUGUCGUGAGAUGUUGGGUUAAGUCCCGCAACGAGCGCAACCCUUAUUAUUAGUUGCUACGCAAGAGCACUCUAAUGAGACUGCCGUUGACAAAACGGAGGAAGGUGGGGAUGACGUCAAAUCAUCAUGCCCCUUAUGACCUGGGCUACACACGUACUACAAUGGCCAUUAACAGAGGGAAGCAAAACCGCGAGGCGGAGCAAAUCCCUAAAAAUGGUCUCAGUUCGGAUUGUAGGCUGCAACUCGCCUACAUGAAGCCGGAAUUGCUAGUAAUCGCGGAUCAGCAUGCCGCGGUGAAUACGUUCCCG